Long non-coding RNA from Hirundo rustica (Barn swallow), 11819 nucleotides. RefSeq lists it as uncharacterized. The record is from RefSeq and is a predicted model, not a curated record. The transcript is spliced from 4 exons. Lineage: Eukaryota; Metazoa; Chordata; Aves; Passeriformes; Hirundinidae.
UUUAAAAAUUGGACCAUAACAGCUGCCAAUCUAAUUUUCCACUCUAGAUAGAUAUUUUAGAACUCAAAGGCCUCUUACUGUGGUGGGACUUUCUGUGUAGCACUGUUCUUCCUCAAAGUCCAAAAUAAUCUACUAAAAUGCACAUGAGAAAGGAAAACAGACCCCUCAGACACAAGCUUGGCUGGGAGGGUGACAGCGAUGACUCCACUGCCAAAAUUGUGGAAAAAAAUUAGUUUUACAGUCUGGGCUGAAAAUUGGAGAAUUGAGUCCGCUUGACACAGGCCUGCCUUGGCUGCUCUGGAGAAACUGAAGAAACACCAAGCGUUAUUUUGAAAUACCACCUUCUUCUCCCUGUGCUUCUCCUUUCUAAAACUGCUGCAGGUCUGGCAGAUGUGUGGUCAACCCUUGAUCUCUGCAAAGCCAGGGUCAUUGAAGGACAUAGCAGCUAACCAUGAAGACAGCCACGUGUUUGGAGAAGAUUCAAGCCUUGUCUUUAAAUCUUCACGCCCUGAGAAAAAUGACAUUUAAAAACCAGCAUCCAGUCUUAAGCUUCUGGCAGCUGGCUGUCAAGCAUGGAAGGCAGAAGGCAGGGGGAGGAAGGUCUUAUCACAUCAUUUGUCUCCCCUCUCCAUGUUUCCCCACCAGUGGUUUUGAGGGAGCUCGGUUCAUGCCAGGACUUCAUGGUGUGCCCAGCUGAUGCUGGCUCUGAGCUGCUUUUCUGUCCCCUGUGAGCUGCUUGUGCAGUUCUGAGUGUGCCAAUGCCUGUCACUGGCUUUUCUCUCCCUCCAGGGUGGCCUGAGAGCCUUCCUAUUUUCCCAAAAAUGCGUACCUUGGAGCAUACAGACUUUGGCAUGGUCUAAACAAGAUUUGGGGACAGUAAAAUGCUGUUUGCCAAAGUCAGGAGGUACAACUGUCAAGAGGCAACAGCACUGUCCCCAUCCAGGGGUGCUGGGGACGUGGAAAUUCUGCCCUGAGCACAGAAGGCAAACAUAAUCCAGAUGUCCCUGAGCUUUCUCUGGGUAUAUUUCCUGGAUUAUUGCCCUGGGAAGUGAUGAGCAUGGCUGUAAAAGAUGGAAGUAGGAGCUUGCUCUAUCUGGAUGAAGGUGCUGGACACUGAGACAUGGAAUGGCUUCCCCUGAGCUGCCAUGGUCACUCUGCCUCAACUGAUUAAAAACUCAGUCAGACGCUCAACAAAACUCUGUUUAUCCUUGCUGGAUGUCAUGUUUUGCAUUUUUGCUAUACUUAAACCACAGGAUAAUGCUCCUGUGCAUGAUUAAAAUACGAUAGAGCCCCCACUGAAGCACCUGCCUUUCCAAGGAGCUUAAGAAGUAUUUUUGGCAAGCACUCCAGUGACCAUUGGAUUCCCAUGAGUAUGUGCAGCCUGAGGCUUUGGUGGUGUGAAUAUUCUGAAAAAGCCUGGAAACUGAUUUAUGGCUGGGAUGCACAGAGGCUUUGGAGACAGGGGAGAGAUGAUGGCUUGUUAUCUAGAGGUGCUUUGUUGUUGGACCACAGCUGUGGGUGCACCCAUGGUGGGCCCACCCAUCCUGUAGCAGACGUGCUCGUGGUCUUACCAGUUGCUUCCUGCCACAGGAAAAUGCCAGUUUAUGUUGAGUUGAGUUUAAAAUAAGGGGAUUUGCUAAUGUUUGAAGUAAAAAGUGUUGGUGCCAAUGGGAUCCAUUCAUCCAACAGCUGUGGUGGCUCUGCUGGGUUCACACAGCUCUAGCUGUCUAUUUCAGCAUGAUUCUGUAAUCAUGUUCUUGUCAACACAGGAUCUUCAUAGAAUCAUAGAGUAGUUUGGGCUAAAAGAGACCUUGAAGCAUUAUCUAAUCUGACCCUCCUGCCAUGGGCAGGGACACCUUCUGCUAGACCACGCUGCUCAGAGCCCUGGCCAGCUUGGCCUUGGACAUUUCUAGGGAUAAUUCAUCCACAGCUUCUAGGGACAACUUGUGCCAGUGCCUCUCCAUACUAAUUGUGAAAAAACUUCUUUAUCUCUAGUCUAGGUCGGGGAUUUUUUUUUUUGGCAGGGAGGGGGAUAGAUGAUGGAAACUUGCCUGUGUUUCAUAUCAGCCUUCCUUGAAACGUGAAAAUUUACUUUUUAAAAUUGCUAUGACAGCAGGAACUUGAAUCAAAUCUUAAAUCUCCAUGAAACUGUGUUAGUUGUGAAAGUCCCUGCUUCCUGGGGGUUGGGAGGAAGUACCACAGCUGCUGGAAGGGACCAUCAGGUAUUGCCAAAUGCAUGGAAAAAUAAGGCCUGGGACCAGGGAGCAAAUCUGCUCCUGAGCAGGUCUGUGAGCCCUGCCAAGGGCAAUGGAGCAUCCUGUGAGCACUGCUCCAGCUCCUGGCUCCAGGCCGGGUCUGCCUGCUGGAGUAUGGUGUUGGUUGGCAAAGGCAGAUUGGGGCAUAUCAAAUCAGCUCACAAACUUGUAUGGAGUUAAACUUUGUGUAGUUUUGGUUGAGAAAUGGCCCCAAAGCUUGAGUUUAUUUUAAAGGAAAUCUCUCAAGCUGUGUUUCAGUAGAACUUGUUUUCUAAGUAAUCUUAAACUAAGGGGAAGGAGGAGAAAUUACUGCAAAGCCAAAUUUUGGUGAGUCUUGGCUUGCUGUUGCCAAAUCUGGCUGAAGUGCUGAUGCUUACAAAGCAGAGCGACCUUUGUGGAGAGCCAGAUGCUGCCUGUGAGCCGAGCUUGCCAGGGGAGAAUAAAUCUCCCACGUACUCCGCUCCGGAGAGCACAACCGAGCCUGCGAGGAGGAAGCAGCAGCACAAAACCUGAGGGAUGCAGACGCAGCCCUGAGGGUGCAAUGUCAGAGCUGCUGGUGUUUGCCUGAAGGCUGACUCAGACUGAGCUGAUGCCCAGGUGAAAGAGCUCAUGUAUCCUAUUCAGGUGUUCAUCUGCCGUGGGCAAUGAUGUCCUGCUGCUGGGCUCAUCAGCAGUGUUUGGAGAAGACAGCCUCCUUCCCAGCAGUGCACACAGCACAUCGCAGUGGGGACAGGUGCUCUGCAGCCCCCGUGCCUCCGCUUCUGCACCACGCGAGGAAAGUCCCAUUCCCUGGAGACACGGGUGGCCAAGGGCAGCGUGGAGGCCUUGACUGCACCAAAAGCGGCUUCUGUGGUGUCUGCACUCGGCUCCCAUGCAGCACCUGCACCCCUGGGGGUGCUGGCUGGGAGGGAGUCGAGGUCUGUCUGCAGCGCCUGUUCUGCGUUUUUAAGCGAGGAGGCAGCCGAGGAGCAUCCCUUGGAGGUGUGUGUGUGUGUGAGUGACUGGGGUGGCUGCUCUGCUGUACUCACACUGAGCAGCUCCGAGCCAGGGAGGACAAACCCAAGAGCCGGGUGUCCCCCAAGAUGUGCCACCACACUGCACUUUAUGGGGGAACCUGUGAUGCUGCAGGGAUUUAAAGGCAGCCUCACCUCUGCAGGAAGCCUCCUUUGUAUCAGAGAACCCCCUUCCUCCUUCUCCUCCUAGGAUUAAGUUAAGGGUGAGGAGGAUAAGGUGUUUUUACUCCCAUUUUUUGAAAUGUAUACAGGUAAAGUUUUGCCCAGUUCUUUCUUAGUGACGAUUUUAGAAAGCAAGUUGUAUCUCUCACUGCUUGGACACCAAACCCCCUCUGUUUGAACAAGCCCUGAACUGGAAACUCUGCAUUUGGGUUCAGUCCAAAGCUGGGUCCCAGUAAGCUCUUGACUGUGACGUACCUGAUUUUAAUUCCAAACUAAAUGACCAUGGAUGCCAGGAGUGGAGAGUCCAACUCUCAAAUCCUCACUUAAAUUAAGAAGUAAGAAGAAACCAUAACUUCAGGGAAAUGUAUCUUGAGUGAUGUUUCCUGGCCUCUUUUACCCCCUGGAGAGCAAUAGAUCUUAAUAGAAAAUGGCUUUCUUGCUGGUUCUUGUGGCUCAUACUCUAUGAAAGAGCAAGAAUAAUUCUCCCUGCCCGAAGAAAACCUGCACUGGAUGGCUAAAAACACUAUUAGAAAGAGCUGUGAAGUCCUGCAGGUUUCAGGGUAAUUCCAUUAUCUGCACUGCUUUGCAUCCUGUAGGAUUUUCCCACAGGGUAUGGUUUCUCAGGCAGCUUUAGCUGUGUACACCAGCAGCCAGGCAUCUACAAAAGCCAAAAUAACAUCAUUUCUUCUCCUGAAUAAUGGGCAUUUUACCUCUCUUUCUAUUUUCUUCUCUAUUUCAGAAGCACCCUGAGGUUAUGCCCAGAUGUUAAUGCCUUCAUACAUUUGGGUUUUCUACUCUCCUGCCACACUUCAAGGUUGUCUAAUCCCUUGAUGGCAGCAGGAUGUGUCCCUGUGACAAAGGGGGAGGAUGUGGAUGAUCUGGUCCCACUGCUGCAGACACCCCAGUGCCUCUGGGUCCCAGCACAGCACCUCACACACAAGCCUUGCACCCAGAUGUGCAUUCCUGGCUUAUCACAGAGCCUGGAAGGGCUUUGGCAGAUGCCUGGGCAUUCUGAAGACACAAGACUGGGAACUUAGAAGCAGGUGGCAGAGAGCAAUAGGAGAGUUCAGUUGUUGCUCGUGGGGUUUCCCUUAGCUAGGAAGGAAAGUCCUGCUCUCAGUCUCCCUCUGGCAGCCAGCACCAGGUCACACGAAUUUCUUUUCUCCUCAGCCUCGUCCUCAGCAGGGAUUGUGUCGCUCAUGCACAGACUGGUGGGAGCCCUCAACCCUGGGUGUUUCUCAGUGUGGAUAAUAUUGCUGCAGCACGCACAGACUGGCUGAGCAGAGAGAUCUGUGAGAGAGCAGUCUCCAAACAGCUUAAAUGCUUUAUUCUGGGGCUGUUGGACAAGCCAUUGAUGCUUUCCAGCUCUGUGUGCUGGUGCCUUCCCAUACACUACAUGGAUUUUUCAUACUUUUUCUCUGCUCUAGAUUUGUUCAGGUGUUUCUCUUACAUCAGGUAGUGUAAGCAGCUCUUUUUCAAAAUAACCAGCAAAUAUCCUGAUCUAUUGAAAUCCUUGUACAAACUCCUGCUGAUCUCCCUGGCCUUGCCUGUAUUGGUGCUAAGGGACGUUUUCCUGGUACAAACCUCGCAAGUAACAGCAUGUGAAAGCUGACUAUUACAGCUUCUCUUUGAAGCUUCUGUGAUUUCUAUUACGUGACAGCGCUCACAAAGUUUCCAACUCGUUACUUAUCAGGGCUGGAGCCUCUGGUGAUGACAAAAAUGGGAGGUUUUUCUACAAACUUCCUCAGGCAGCCACAGCAGGUUGGUCAUUAAGGGCUCUGUGCACAAGUUCAUCCUGAAGUUGAGCAGAGCUUCACUUCCAAUUUCCCCUGCUAUCCUUCACCCUUGUUCUGUGUUCCCUUUGGGAGACCUGUUGUAGUGAAUUUUUUUAUUCCCCCCUAUAUCUAACAGAGUUUGAUUUGGCAACUGUCCAGGAGAGAAAGGACUUGCAAUUGCUUUGUCCUUUGGUGAUUUAGGUUAUUGCAGCUUCAUGGUUUGCUGUUGGGAAAGCGAUUAAGAGAAAAAAGUCCCAUCUGUGACUGAAAAUGGACUUUUAGUGAUAAAAAAUGUCCCUGGGUUAUCUCUGAGGCUGCUGCAAUCUCCAGCAUUCUUCUUUUUCCGUUUUUUCUCAUCUUUAAUAUUUUUUUUCUGUUAGGUCUACCAUUUAUUUCCCAGGUCCUUUGCAUUUGAAGGAUAUUUCUUCUCCCUUUCUGCUUGGACGUGUGCAGAUGGUACUUUAGGCAAAUUAAAUGCUGUGUGUUGGAAACAGGGGCAGAAUCCAAACGUUUUGAGGAGCUCUGGGUCAAAUGUGCUGAGAGGUGGCUGCAGACAGGUUGAGCUGAGGACCAGAGACACUUGAUAUUUAUGGGGUAUCCUGCUGGUGAGGGAGGUGGGGAUCACCCUAGUAGGAAAAAGGAAAGGAAAAGGACCCUGGUCCUGCUGGCAAGCUGCCAAAGUAAGGAAAUGCCACUUUAUCCACAGGAGGACAGAAGAAAUGCCAAAAAUGGCAGGUGGUGAGGUCAGAAAAGGAGGAGAAAGCAAAAUAGCACCAUGACAUCUGUACACAUGUGGCUGAGCAUUGGCAAAAUAAAAAAUAAAAAUAAAAUGGUGUAGACAGUACCUUGCUUGCACAGACUAGGGCUUAAAUAGCAUUACAGGGAUUUGGCAGGAUGAACAGAAGUUGCUGGGAAAGGGCAAGCGAGGAAUGAAGGAGAGCACUGUACCAAGAACGAGGGGUGUUUGUCCUGUAGGUUAGCAAGGGGCUGGGAACUUCAGUGUGGGCAACUUAAAAGGGGUGAGACUGGAAGGGAGAGACCUCACGUGAGUUAAGAGGAGUAGAUGGGUGGAUGUGAGUGACCCUUAAAGCCCAGAGUACCUCCAGCUUGGUGGUAAAUGGCAUCUUAAACUCCGUGAGGAGUGAUACAGCAGGACAGAGCUGUUCAGUUCCCUGGGUGUGUUAGUGCAACAGCUCCUCUCUAACGGUGAUGAGGGCUGCUGGAAAAGCUGCUAUUUUGAGCUUGAUUUGGGAUAAUAGAGCAGAACUGGCUGAAAGAAGUGGAAGGUGAUUUCAGGAAAUGUCAUGAAAUGGUGGAGCCAAGAAUGCCAUGAGAAAGGGAGUGAAAACAGCAGAGGGAGGAUAAUGGGCUGCAAAACUCCCCGGGAAUCAGGCAGCAACCCCUGGGAAGGUAAUGCAAGGGCUCAGGGAGCACAGGGAAGUUGGCAAUUACCUAAUGUGACUGCGUUAGGGGCACCACAUCCCAAGGAACAAGAGGAAGAUGAUGCAGGGAUUUGAUGGACCUCAGACACAGAGAAGAGCUGCAGAAAAGAGGAUGGUGCCAGAGACCUGGCAACGGGACCAAGGGGCAGAGGCUGCACAGCUACAAGCUGGAGAUGAGAAGGUGCAGAACAAGCUCCACUGGGUGCCCAUUUUAAAGCUGGGCAAAACCCUUUUGUAAAUGCACAGGGAGGAGGAGAGCUGGGGAAAGCCCCGGCGUGUUGCUCAAAUGAAGGGAUUCAUUGUGGACUUCGCUUCAGCCUUCCCUUGCACCCAGCUAAUUAGAACUGGAUGAUUAAGCAGGGCAGGGGUCCAACUUGAACAGAGAGCAGAAGACCUGCCAGGGUGUUUAGAGCAGUCAGGUGUGCUGGCAUUAACAGGACGUGCUGAAUUCCCCCUUGGGUGUACUUCCAGAGAGAAUCCAACCUUGGAAGCGUUCAGGGUUUUUCCAAUAUUGCGGGGCGGGCUGGGAGCUGCGCUGGGGCAGCUUCAAGAGUUAAAGGCUUCAAAACGAGCAGUGCGAGAAGAUGUUUGAUUAAGAAAUCAAUCUGUAAGAACCUGGAGGAUAAUGAGGUUGGAAAGUGACACCUGGCAUGGGUUUGUCAGGGGCAAGCGGAGUGAAAUGAAUGUCAUUUUCUCCUCUGACAGGAGAACCAGGCUCAUGGAUGGGGGAGAGGUGCUGGAUGGGACAGGACUGGGCGGGUGGAGUGUGCCAAGCAGCCUUGGCAGUGUGACCUGCUCUGCAGGGGGGGCUGGGGACCUUGAGCUCAGCUUUGGGGGGAGGUGAAGAGCUGCCUCAUCACACAGGAUUUCAAACAGCUGCCUCAGUGCAUGAUGUCAUCACCUGCUUUCUGAGUUGUCCCCUUAUGCUGUUAGUGCCUAUGCUGCUGCAGGAUGUUGUGCUCGCUUUUGCGUAGCUCUGUCCUUCCUCGUUCUUUCCUGUGGUCGUCAAAUAGUCCCCAUCAUCGUCAGCUCUGCUGGAGUGGCUCUUCAUCCCUGUCUUUGUGGUGGGCUGCCCUUACUGGGGGGUGAGGCCAUCAGUAGCUGCUUCCCCCAUCUCUGCCUCUUCGGUUCAAGACUCUGAAAGGCAACCCGGCCCUUAAGCGAACAUUGCAGGACUUGCCCAGGUCAUUUGUCACCGUGCUUUUUAUUGUCUCCUCCUCUCUGAACCUCAUGCUACAGCACAGCAUCCCUCCUCCCCGGGCUCUGCACCUCCACUUUGCAUCUCUGGGGACAGCGGUCCUGCCGUGCUCAUGGCGUGCCUACGUUUGUCUUAAGGAUUGACCCUUCAGUUAUUAUUAGACUCGUGGUCACCUCCAGCGCAGCCUGUCAUGAUGAAUCAGAAACAGAAUCUUCUCUGCAUCAUAGUCCUCCUUAAACCGACCAUCCCCUUCUACCUGCUGCAGUCAUCGCCUCAUUAUAACUCCAUUACCUUUAACAACAACCCCAUUACCAUCCAUUAUCUUUCUUAUCAUCUCCUUUACAAGGCUGUUAUUUGCACCUCCUCCUUUACAGCCAUCCCCUCUUCAAUUACGAUUCCAUUAUCUUUAUUACCACCCCAUUACAGCCAUAAUUAUUCCCAUUACAAUUUUGAGAACUGCAUCUCCAUCCAGACAAGUCGGUGUCUCCAGCAGCCCUAUCCCCAGCUUCUCUUGCUCCAUGUUCCUCAUUGCUUUCCUCCAGCCUCCCUGCAUUCCUAACUAUCCCCAUACCAAUGGUUGUAUUCUAAUUAUUUUUCAUUAUGGUUUUAUAGUCUUUUGCUGUUAUUGCUUCCCUUAUCAGCCAUUCUCAUCUCCCUGAGGUAUCAUAGCUGCGGUGGGUACUGGGGUGGGAGCUGAGGCUCGGGUCAGUGAUAUUAUUCUGAUCUGCACCAGCCCUGAGCAGGUAAUUACAGCCCAUCCUGUCCUCUGCAGUUCCAGCACUUAAUCUCCAUUGCGGCCCUAAUUACUGAUGUUAUCUGUCUGUUAUCCUUCAGCCCAUCUCCCUUGCAGCUUCCCAGGCAUGACCAUCUCCUCCAGCCACUGGUGCCUCCUGCCUGGGCAGAGGAGCAGCCCUGACCCUGCCUGAUUUUCCAUCCCUGGCACUGGACAACGGCUCUAGGGAUUUUCCCCCCUUUUAAAUUAAAAUAAUAUCUGCGUGAUAUUAGCAAAAAUGGUUUUGUCACAAGGAUUCAUAAAUUCUCCCAGUGCAACACUAAGUGUCACGUCCCAGAGAGGUUGUGGAGUCUCUUUUCCCUGGAGAAAUUCCAAAGACAUUGGGACACAUCCUGAGUAAGGUGCUCCUGCUCGAGCAGGGAGGUUGGACAAGAUGACUCCAGUGCUCCCUUCUAACCUGAACCGUUCUGGGAUCCCGCUGGUGUUGCUGUCACCAUGGUUUCAGCUGCGUACCCCCCAAGAGCUGCCAGACCUGCCUCUGCUCCGUUCAUACCUCUUUCAUCUUCCAGAAGCCACACUGGGGCCUCAGGAGCAGCCCUCGGAAGCUUCUUCAUCAGCACUACGAGGCGAGAAAAGGCUUCUUGACUGGCAUGGAGUGGGUUGCGCCCUUUAGGGUGCCAGGGAGGAGUUGGGUACUGCACUAUAUCCUGAUCCAGCAGAGGACAAGAGCCUGACAGAGGGUCCAGUGCCCACGCUCCUCGAGAGGACAUUGAGGGAUUGGGGUGGUUACAGAGAGAGUCACAAAACUUCUCGGGGAUGGGGAAACCGCCGGCUUUGGAGAGCUCGGUCUGCUUCGUUUAUCACGAAGAUUGAGAGGUGACUUCAUGGCUUCCUGCAAGAACUGUCACGGCAGGGAAAUACUAAAGGAGGUACUAAAGAGCCCUUUACAGCGGGAAAGGCAGCACGGGAGCGAUGGCUGCGACCUGAGGCAGGCAAAUUUGGAUGACUGAUGCAGCGUGCGGGUUUCAGUGAAGGCCAUGCCCAUCUCCAGUGGCUCCAGGAGACGGCGAGGUGGGUGCGAUAUUCCUCACAUCCCUGAGCCCUGUGGGCAGAGAAGCUGGUAGCAGCUUGCAGGUAAUUAACAGUUCUGGUGUAAGAGGGGAUGUAGCUCAUGUUGGAACGCCCCUGGGUUGUUUCCCACAAUCGAUAGGCUUCAUAAAUAAUGUAUCCCCCAGGGGGAAAAGCUACCUUGCGCUUAUCAGAUUUUGUACUUGUUUGGCUUAGCGAUGCUAAGAGGGAAUAGGGCUCGGAGGGAGAAACGGGAGCUAUAAAUAAGCACAGGGGAGCGUAGGUACAGGCCCAGGCAGGAGGCUCGGGCUGGGUGACCCCCGUGCUGUGCAGCUCCCCCACAGACACCCCCGGGGAGCUCUGGAAUGGAAAAGCCGAUUGGAAGCGAAUGAAGGGAGAGCGAGCUGCCGUGCAGGGCUGUAAACAGCUCCCAGCACCACACUGUGCCCCCCUGCAAAAUCUGGGGGAAUUUUUCCUAAUUCUAGCUCGGUUAAGGGCGACCAAAGGAAGGGAGACAAAGCACUUAGCAUCACUUUCCUAUUAUUUCUUUGCUUCACUGCCUGUCAGGGCACCCGACGGAGCUGAGCUCGCUGCAAAGCACGGGGCAGUGCCCUCCGUGAGGGGCGCGGGGCACUAUUGCUCUGCCAUUCCCACGGGGAUUUGGGAAGAGCAUUUAAACACCCAGCCAUGGCCUCUCCACACCUCAGUGACAGCCUGGGAAAGGCUGAAUGUAACACGGGACAGCAGGAAAUGUAAGCUCUUUAGGGAUCAAGGGAAAACAUUUGACUGAAAAAUUGGGAAGCAGCACGAGGAUGGAGACUGGUCCUUCUGGCUUUUGGGUUUGACCCAUACCCACAGUUUUCCUCUUAAAAAGCGUAGACUGGGAUUUCCUGAGAGAGCAGAUGCAAGAGCUGCUUCUGUACUGUGACCUGACGCCUGCACUUUGGGUUUUAUACUAAAUAAAAGGAGCGAGGAGCUGGCAAGAAGCAGACAGCGUGGUGGGAAACAACUUUGGGAUUAAAAUAACACCCUCGGUAAGCCCUGGCUAGCAGGUUUGUGCUGCCCAGGCUGCUCACUGCACAGCUGGAGCCAGAACAUCUGGGAGGGUUUAUAAAUUAAAAGGAAACACAGGUUUCCUUGUUGUAAAACACAGUUAUGAUGGGCAGUAGAGCACAGAGGUUCUUACGAGCUCCAACGAGAUGGAAAUUUUUGGCGAGGUCAGUAAAUAAUUCUGGGGUUGGAGCGUGGUAGCGCAAUCUUCCACAGAGCUCCCUAGGAGGGGCUGAUCCUGGUGCUUGUUAGCCCACGUUCCCUAAGAGCAGACUGCAAAUAAUCCAUCACCUCCGGCCUGGGACCCGGCCCGGGCAGAAAAGCUUUUUGCACCCAUCCACUGCAAUCGCAGAGAGCAGCCAGGGGCUGGGGGCAGGAGCAGGGGCAGGAGCAGGAGCAGCGCUGCUGGGCUGAGCGGGGAGCGCCCAGGGGAGUCUUUAACUGCAGCUCCAUUACAGCAGCGAUACAGAGCCGAGGGGAUCAUUUAUUUACUGUCUCCACACAGAGCUUCACUCCUCGCAAGAGCGGCCCCAGGCAGGUGCUGGGGACAUCUCCCUGCUCUUCCCCUGCCCGGGGCUUUGCUGACAGGCGCUGUUCUGCGUGUGCCCGGCCUAGGAACGCCGUGUACAGCUCUGAGGCGAUGAAUAUCUGCUCAGCGGGGGCUGGGUGUGCUCCCUUCUGCCCCGGCAGUGCUCUCGGAGCUGGGACGGGUACUCACUGGUCCCCACUGGCUCCAAAGCUUUGCUCUGGAGCCUGGCUGCUGGACCACUCAGCUGCUUCGUGGUUUCAAUUUCACCUUUUGUGGGGCUGGCACCAUCUUCUGAUCUAAUUUUGCUCCAACCCGUAACCUUAGCACGCCCAAGCCUGGCUCACUCCGAGGAGCUGCUGCGCUGGGAGCGGCAUUGCUCUGCAGGGACUGGAAGCCCCCAUGGGUGCUCUCCAUCGCCGUUCCUCAAAGCAAUCCCGUGCUGAUGAGGUGAGGCUUGUUAAAGCUUUCCAGCCCCCGCCAAGGGAGCCCGAGCCCAGAUGGUCUGAGCAGAUUACUGCUGCCUCCUGGGCCAUCCAUCCCAGGCACUUUGGCAGGCCUGAAUUUCCUCCAAAUGACAAAAUGACAAAAAUAAAU